CACUGAUGGCUUUCAAAGCCUCAGACAGAGAGUCUGUAAACAAAACAGAUACAGUGGUCAGAUUCAGAAGCAUCUGUGGCACCUCCCAGAUCUCAGCCUUUUUAUUCCACUGCCACGAAGAUGGACUUGAGGAGGAUGAAAGUGAGUGAGUGACAGAGCCCCCUGAGGAUGUCAUUAGCCAGGGCAGGCUGGCUCUCAGCAUGGCCCACUUUAAACACUCUUACAGGCUAAAGCUAAACUCCCCCCCAGUAGAACCCCCACCACCACGCCCACCUGGGCAGCUAUCACAACUGGAAUGUGACCUUUUCAUGAUGAGGCUGAAGGAAAACAGAAGCAGUCUGAGGUGGUUGAUGCGAGCUGCGGAUAUUCUCAGAUGCUGUGAUGGUGUGCCUGAAAUCAAUAGGGGGUCCAGAGAGAGUGAUAGACACAGAGAGAAAGAAAGACAGAGAGAGAGAGAAAGAAAGAGAGACAGAGAGAGAGGAAGGGAGACGUCCAGUUCUGCCAGCUUAGCCUCUUAUGCCAACUCAACCCAACGCCCCCCC
Astyanax mexicanus (Mexican tetra) is the source of this 542-nucleotide long non-coding RNA. RefSeq lists it as uncharacterized. The transcript has 3 exons. The record is from RefSeq and is a predicted model, not a curated record. NCBI's taxonomy places the organism in Eukaryota, Metazoa, Chordata, Actinopteri, Characiformes, Acestrorhamphidae.